CCUUAAGUAACCAAGAAAGUAGGUACUAAACUUUUAAUUUAGUCACGAUAAUUUUUAUUUAUCCUUA
Molecule: transfer RNA, 67 nt
Filed under: Lepidozona coreanica
Lineage: Eukaryota; Metazoa; Mollusca; Polyplacophora; Chitonida; Ischnochitonidae
Description: tRNA-Lys
Source: RNAcentral